GCACCAUUCAAAACAAUCACAUUUAACUUAAUUUAGCUUUAAAAUCAAACAAUUUUACAUCUUAUGUAUCAAACAAACAUUCAAAUUGAAACUUAACACAGGUUAAACAUUCAUCUUUAAUCUACUGUGUACUGGGAAACAGAGCAGGCUGGAUGUGUGAUGGACUUAUACUGCAGUGUGAGUGAUUAUCAGUAUGAUGUGAUCAGACAACAAGAGAGACAUUAUUACCUGUUGACAGAACUACAGACACUGGUGAAGGACCUGCCCAGUUUGUUUCAGCAGCAUCUGUCAUGUACACUCAGUGAUCUGGCACAGGCGCUCAUGGACGGGACGGUGUAUGAAAUUGUUAAAGGGCUGCUGGAAAAACCUCUAUAACCAGAGAUAGAAACUGCACAGCCAACACAGAGGCUCUGGAUCAGUGAGUAAAAGACGAGCAGUGGACAAUGGAUGAGAGGAUCGUAGCUGAAAUGGAUCAGAAAGUUCUCGACCAGCGGAACAUGCUGGAGUACCUGGAUUUUACAUCACCAUCAACCCACAGGAAGUGAUGAUGCAGAUGAAUGUUCUGGAACUGAUACUGAAGCUGCAACAGAAGGAAUAGAAAGUCUACCUAAGAAUAGAAGAAUGCAACGAUUUGCACUCAAAUUAGUUCUGCUCGUGUUUCAUGAAUAAGGCCAAUUGCUGUGGAUGUUGUCCUGCAGGAGGAUGUUUUUUUUUAGUUUUUGGACAUUUAAAAGCAAUGAUGAUGUGUUGAAAAGGUCUAUAAAAUGACCAUGGAUGAGACGGAAGACUUGUGCCCACUUGAACUUUUAUUUUGAUGCUAAAUAUUGUUUUGUAAAUAACCGUCUGUUAUGAUUCCAGAAGCUAGUGAACACUGUAUUUAAAUAUGACAUUCUGUGUUUGUAGUCUUAUUAUGUGGAUGGUAUUUGCAUCAUUAUAUCAUGUGUUUUUUCUUCCCAAACGUUGACCUUUGACCUCUGCUGGCUACAUUCGUUUGAUGAAAUACUGGACUUAUAUUUGCAUUAUUGCUGUCAUUCAGCACUUACCUCAGUAACAUUAAUAACCAUGUCAUAUAAGUUUACAUUUCCAGGAAUGGUAGCUGAGAAUAAUAUUUUUUAUUUUAAACAAUGAGUUCAUUUCUGAGUGUGUUCAUUAUAUCAAUAAGAAUGCUGUGUUUUGUCAACCUUAUAGGAGUGUAGCUUAAGUAUAAUUGUAUUAAUAUUUAUAUAUUAUGUAAGUAUAUUACUAAUUAGAUGCUUGAAUACUUAAUCAGGUCCACUUGUGUGCCAUCAGUGUUGUGAAUGAGAUCUCAUCUACUUCACAUUUCAAAGCGGGUGUGCAAAACCAAAAUUUGUGCCCCAUGUAUUUGA
Molecule: long non-coding RNA, 1367 nt
Organism: Xyrauchen texanus (razorback sucker)
Lineage: Eukaryota; Metazoa; Chordata; Actinopteri; Cypriniformes; Catostomidae
Exons: 5
Source: RefSeq, a predicted model, not a curated record